AUUGAACGCUGGCGGAAUGCUUUACACAUGCAAGUCGAACGGCAGCACGGGUGCUUGCACCUGGUGGCGAGUGGCGAACGGGUGAGUAAUGCACCGGAACGUAUCCAAUAAUGGGGGAUAACGCACCGAAAGGUGUGCUAAUACCGCAUACGCCCUGAGGGGGAAAGCGGGGGAUCGUAAGACCUCGCGUUAAUGGAGCGGCCGAUGCCGGAUUAGCUAGUUGGUGAGGUAAAGGCUCACCAAGGCGACGAUCCGUAGCUGGUCUGAGAGGACGACCAGCCACACUGGAACUGAGACACGGUCCAGACUCCUACGGGAGGCAGCAGUGGGGAAUUUUGGACAAUGGGCGCAAG
This 353-nucleotide ribosomal RNA is filed under the name uncultured bacterium. RNAcentral describes it as "bacterial SSU rRNA". It matches the Rfam family "Bacterial small subunit ribosomal RNA", at positions 30 to 381 of the family's 1533-position model. The record is from RNAcentral.